GCUGGGCAUGGUGGCGUAUGCCUGUAAUCCUGGCCACUCUGGAGGCUGAGGUAGGAGGAUCACAAAUUCAAAGCCAGCCUCAUCAAUUUAGUGAGGCCAUAAGAAACUUAGUGUGACCCUGUCUCAA
Molecule: small RNA, 127 nt
Filed under: Marmota monax (woodchuck)
Lineage: Eukaryota; Metazoa; Chordata; Mammalia; Rodentia; Sciuridae
Source: RNAcentral